AGACCUACUGCAGCCACGCGGGCGAGCGGCUGUGUGGAUGUCGGCGAAGCCGCGGGCGAGACCCUGAGAAACUUCUACCUGUCCCAUGCCAGCUGAGGGUGUCUGAGGAGCUGACAUCAACCCCAUGGAUCUCCUGAACUGUGCUGGAAGGUAGAGACAGGCAGGGAGGCUUCCCAAUGGGUCAGGAGAACCUGACCCCACAAAUCAACUGAUCUUCAAGAGACAGGAUGGAGGGAGGGAUCAUUCUAGAGAACCCUGCUCCUUGUUCCUCCCUGUGGCAAAAUCUGGCGCCAGGAAGAGUUUGAGU
This 307-nucleotide long non-coding RNA is filed under the name Homo sapiens (human). RNAcentral's name for it is "HSALNT0341342". The record is from RNAcentral. Lineage: Eukaryota; Metazoa; Chordata; Mammalia; Primates; Hominidae.